UACCAGCUCUCCGAGUGGUGCGGAUGUUUAUUGGGCCUAAAGCAUCCGUAGCUGGCUGGGCAAGUCCCCUGUUAAAUCCACCGAUUUAAUCGUUGGAGUGCGGGGGAUACUGCCCGGCUAGGGGACGGGAGAGGCAGACGGUAUUUUCGGGGUAGGGGUGAAAUCCUAUAAUCCCGGGAAGACCACCAGUGGCGAAGGCUGUCUGCUAGAACGUGCCCGACGGUGAGGGAUGAAAGCUGGGGGAGCGAACCGGAUUAGAUACCCGGGUAGUCCCAGCUGUAAACGAUGCAGGCUAGGUGUUUGGACGGCCACGUGCCGCUCUAGUGCCGCAGGGAAGCCGUUAAGCCUGCCGCCUGGGGAGUACGGCCGCAAGGCUGAAACUUAAAGGAAUUGGCGGGGGAGCACCACAAGGGGUGAAGCUUGCGGUUUAAUUGGAGUCAACGCCGGAAAUCUCACCGGGAGCGACAGCAGUGUGAAGGCCAGAUUAAAGGUCUUGCUGGACGAGCUGAGAGGAGGUGCAUGGCCGUCGCCAGUUCGUGCCGUGAGGUGUCCUGUUAAGUCAGGCAACGAUCGAGACCCGCGUCCUCUGUUGCUACUGGUUUUGUACCAGGCACACUGAGGAGACCGCCGCUGAUAAAGCGGAGGAAGGAGCGGGCCACGGCAGGUCAGUAUGCCCCGAAUCUCCCGGGCCACACGCGAGCUGCAAUGGCAGGUACAAUUGGUUCCGACCUCGAAAGGGGAAGGCAAUCCCGAAAGCUUGCCGUAGUUGGGAUCGAGGGUUGAAACCCACCCUCGUGAACAUGGAAUCCCUAGUAAUCGCGUGUCACUAGCGCGCGGUGAAUACGUCCCUGCUCCU
Molecule: ribosomal RNA, 856 nt
Filed under: uncultured archaeon
Lineage: Archaea
Description: SSU rRNA
Rfam family: Archaeal small subunit ribosomal RNA
Source: RNAcentral